Trichomonas vaginalis G3 is the source of this 72-nucleotide non-coding RNA. Lineage: Eukaryota; Parabasalia; Trichomonadida; Trichomonadidae. The record is from Rfam.
GGGGUAGUAGCUCACCGGUAGAGCAAGGGAUUGCAGAUCCCUGGGUAGUCGGUUCGAUUCCGGCCUGCCCCU